CCUGCCCAGUGCAAAUUUUUUAACGGCCGCGGUACUCUGACCGUGCAAAGGUAGCAUAAUCAUUUGCCUUUUAAUUAAAGGCUAGUAUGAAUGGUUUGACAAGAAUAUAGCUGUCUCUUUAUGAAUAAAUAAAACUUUAUAUAUAGGUGAAGAAGCCUAUAUUAAAUUAAAAGACAAGAAGACCCUAUCGAGCUUUAAAUAAAUUAGUGCAGUAUUAUUAAUUAAUAAUUCUAAAAAAUUAGGUACUAAAAAUUUUAGUUGGGGCGACCGAGGAACAAAUAAAGCUUCCUUUAUAAUUAAAAAUUUUACAAAUAGUGAUCCAAAAUAUUUUGAUUAAAGAAAUUAGUUACCGUAGGGAUAACAGCAUUAUCUUUUUUAAGAGCUCUAAUCGAAAAAAAGGUUUGUGACCUCGAUGUUGGAUCAGAAUAUCCUAAAGAUGCAGCAGUCUUUAAGGGUUGGUCUGUUCGACCAUUAAAAUUCUACGUGAUCUGA
This 492-nucleotide ribosomal RNA is filed under the name Chlanidota densesculpta. RNAcentral's name for it is "partial 16S ribosomal RNA". It matches the Rfam family "Bacterial large subunit ribosomal RNA", at positions 1858 to 2608 of the family's 2925-position model. The record is from RNAcentral. Lineage: Eukaryota; Metazoa; Mollusca; Gastropoda; Neogastropoda; Buccinidae.